This 280-nucleotide unclassified non-coding RNA is filed under the name Leohumicola sp. RNAcentral's name for it is "partial contains 5.8S ribosomal RNA, internal transcribed spacer 2, and large subunit ribosomal RNA". The stretch from base 1 to 71 matches the Rfam family "5.8S ribosomal RNA", at positions 84 to 154 of the family's 154-position model. Lineage: Eukaryota; Fungi; Ascomycota; Leotiomycetes. The record is from RNAcentral.
GUGAAUCAUCGAAUCUUUGAACGCACAUUGCGCCCCUUGGCAUUCCGAGGGGCAUGCCCGUUCGAGCGUCAUUAUAACCCCUCAAGCCUAGCUUGGUGUUGGGGCCUGCUGUUACCGGCAGCCCUUAAAAUCAGUGGCGGUGCUAUCUGGCUCUAAGCGUAGUAAUACUUCUCGCUACAGGGUCCCGGUGGAUGCUUGCCAUUAACCCCUAAUUUUCUAUGGUUGACCUCGGAUCGGGUAGGGAUACCCGCUGAACUUAAGCAUAUCAAUAAGCGGAGGA